Molecule: ribosomal RNA, 763 nt
Filed under: uncultured bacterium
Lineage: Bacteria
Description: bacterial SSU rRNA
Rfam family: Bacterial small subunit ribosomal RNA
Source: RNAcentral
UGAGAGGUCAGGUGAUACUGCAGGCUAGAGGGCAGAGAGGGUGCGGAAUUCCGGGUGUAGUGGUGAAUGCGUAGAUAUCGGAGGAACACAGAGGCGAGGCGGCGCCCUGGACUGUGCCUGACGCUGAGACGCGAAAGCAUGGGUAGCGAACGGGAUUAGAGACCCCGGUAGUCCAUGCCGUAAACGAUGCACACAGAUGUUCGUCUGGUACUGCCAGAUGAGCGUCGCAGCUAACGCGAUAAGUGUGCCGCCUGGGGAGUACGGUCGCAAGGCUAAAACUCAAAGGAAUUGACGGGGACCCGCACAAGCAGCGGAGCGUGUGGUUUAAUUCGAUGCUACACGAAGAACCUUACCUAGGUUUGACAUCCCCUGAAGGCCCUGGAAACAGGGAAAUACCCGUAAGGGACAGGGAGACAGGUGCUGCAUGGCUGUCGUCAGCUCGUGUCGUGAGAUGUUCGGUUAAGUCCGAGAACGAGCGCAACCCUCGGUGUUAGUUACAAGUGUCUAACACGACUGCCUGCGACAAGCAGGAGGAAGGUGGGGAUGAUGUCAAGUCAGCAUGGCCUUUAUAUCUAGGGCUACACACACGCUACAAUGGCGCGUACAAUGGGUCGCGAAGCCGCGAGGUGGAGCCAAUCCUAAAAAGCGCGUCGUAGUUCAGAUUGUAGGCUGCAACUCGCCUGCAUGAAGCCGGAGUUGCUAGUAAACGCGCAUCGAGCAUGUCGCGUUGAAUACGUUCCCGGGUCUUGUACACACCGCCCGU